CCCCAAUUUUAUAGAUGGCAUGGAGCUUUUAUACAAGAAAAACAAACAAGAUUGGUUUACGCACCAAAACAUAAAGUGGCUUUUUGCACUCGACUCAAGGUUUAUCUUGUGGUGAAAUAAUUCGAAUUAAUUCGUAAAUUAGCCAACCCAGUACUAUCUCCAGCUAUUAUGGUUGGUGCAGUCUGGAAGCAGGAUAAUCGCGGCAAAGGUAUAUAUGUUGAUCAUGAAACAGCUGCAAGUGAGGAAGAAAAUGAGGACAACUAUGUGGAAGAUGAAAGUUUGGGCAAUUGGGCAGAUUUGCCUGAUUUGGUCAUUGAAAGAAUCUUUUCUUAUCUGAGUAAUGAAAAGCGUUAUUAUGGAUCUCUGGUGUGCAGAAGAUGGUAUCAGGCAUUUCAUCUGCCAUAUGUCUGGUCCACUUUUGUGCUAGAAGAUCGUGUUUUAUCAAGAAGACGGUUUAACUACCAUUUAGGCUGGCAAUAUACUUUAGACCACUACAGAGCUCAAAUAUUUUUGUACAAAACAGCCAAAAAUAUUCGAACCCUUAUUUUUGCUCCCAUGUUGAAUUUCUUUAAUCUCUUUGAGGUCAUGAAUAUGCUCUCCCAAUUCAGUGAAAGGUACCCAGGUUCCCUUGACAACAUCCAUACACUCAAGUUUACUUUCAACUGUGAUAUGGCGUUUCGGACGGAAAACGCCAUUUACGGUACUGGUGGUCAGCUCUUGCAAGCACUUAAAAAUCUUAUGUCUUUUCUACCUGGCCUCACGAGCUUGGAAUUGACCAAUCUGCUGUUGGACAGUUCGGAAGCUCUCUAUCUCUUGGACGAUGUCUGUUACACUAGAUGCCUCAAUCUCCAUUCACUGACACUUAUCAAUUGCACCAAAGUUCCUUGUCGUCUUCUUCACCCAGGCGCCUUCCUUCGACUGCAUUCUCUCCGAAUCAGUCCGCAAACAUUAAGCUCCGAUUUGCUUUGGCUCAUAAGCUCUACAAAAUUGAAACACUUACACAUCAUUCAGAACGCCUACACUGAAUCUUGCUACAGCAUCGAACCUAAAGCCUGGAGCGAUUUGAAUCGAAAGAAUCCGGCAAUAAGAGUCCACUUGAAAUCAAUGGGGAAAACUAAAAGAGAAAUUGUCUGGCAGGAACGUGCCCCAGUAUCAUCCGUAUUGUACAAUUCCCGUUAUUCUAAGGUGUCCAUGUCAAGUAUUCUGACCAUCGUUGAUCUCUACCGCGAUCGACUGAAAGUUUAUGGUCACCUGGGGCUUCCUCGAUUCCAUACGUCCAACAGCUUCCAGAAUCGGAUCGACAUGUCCUUGAUCACUCUUGUUCGGGAAUGUCCAAAUCUUAACACACUGGUAAACUCGUUCCAUGUCUAAUUGUCUAUUUUUACCGAAUGCUUGUAACGCAUAAUUUAUUGUGUGCUACUAAACCCCCAGCAUGUCAUGGAAAAACUUGAUUGCACGUUUUUUAAAAGUCAUUCCAGACAGUAUUUGUAGGUUUACCUAACUCCUUAGAUGAGUGCGUGUUUGCAUGGACGUUGUUAUCUUGUCAGUAGGUAAUCCGCGAGAGGAUUUCAACUGCGACAUUGAUCCUGUUGGUCAGCUCAGCCAAUUGUCAACGCUUGCAUCGUCUUUACGUUCGCCGUAACGCCUUGCUACUCCGCGCCGACUGGCCUCGUAGCCUCGAG
Molecule: unclassified non-coding RNA, 1682 nt
Filed under: Daphnia pulicaria
Lineage: Eukaryota; Metazoa; Arthropoda; Branchiopoda; Diplostraca; Daphniidae
Description: f-box/LRR-repeat protein 21-like, transcript variant X3
Source: RNAcentral